AGCAGCAGUGGGGAUAUUGCACAAUGGGCGCAAGCCUGAUGCAGCCAUGCCGCGUGUGUGAAGAAGGCCUUCGGGUUGUAAAGCACUUUCAGUCAGGAGGAAAGGUUAGUAGUUAAUACCUGCUAGCUGUGACGUUACUGACAGAAGAAGCACCGGCUAACUCCGUGCCAGCAGCCGCGGUAAUACGGAGGGUGCGAGCGUUAAUCGGAAUUACUGGGCGUAAAGCGUACGCAGGCGGUUUGUUAAGCGAGAUGUGAAAGCCCCGGGCUCAACCUGGGAACUGCAUUUCGAACUGGCAAACUAGAGUGUGAUAGAGGGUGGUAGAAUUUCAGGUGUAGCGGUGAAAUGCGUAGAGAUCUGAAGGAAUACCGAUGGCGAAGGCAGCCACCUGGGUCAACACUGACGCUCAUGUACGAAAGCGUGGGGAGCAAACGGGAUUAGAUACCCCGGUAGUCCACGCCGUAAACGAUGUCUACUAGAAGCUCGGAGCCUCGGUUCUGUUUUUCAAAGCUAACGCAUUAAGUAGACCGCCUGGGGAGUACGGCCGCAAGGUUAAAACUCAAAUGAAUUGACGGGGCCCGCCCC
RNAcentral lists this ribosomal RNA (585 nucleotides) under Pseudoalteromonas sp. RNAcentral's name for it is "bacterial SSU rRNA". It matches the Rfam family "Bacterial small subunit ribosomal RNA", at positions 347 to 926 of the family's 1533-position model. The record is from RNAcentral. Lineage: Bacteria; Pseudomonadati; Pseudomonadota; Gammaproteobacteria; Alteromonadales; Pseudoalteromonadaceae.